AGAGUUUGAUCCUGGCUCAGGACGAACGCUGGCGGCGUGCCUAAUACAUGCAAGUAGAACGCUGACUACUUUAGCUUGCUAGAGUAGAAGGAGUUGCGAACGGGUGAGUAACGCGUAGGUAACCUGCCUACUAGCGGGGGAUAACUAUUGGAAACGAUAGCUAAUACCGCAUAACAGUGUUUAACACAUGUUAGAUGCUUGAAAGAUGCAAAUGCAUCACUAGUAGAUGGACCUGCGUUGUAUUAGCUAGUUGGUGGGGUAACGGCCUACCAAGGCGACGAUACAUAGCCGACCUGAGAGGGUGAUCGGCCACACUGGGACUGAGACACGGCCCAGACUCCUACGGGAGGCAGCAGUAGGGAAUCUUCGGCAAUGGGGGCAACCCUGACCGAGCAACGCCGCGUGAGUGAAGAAGGUUUUCGGAUCGUAAAGCUCUGUUGUAAGAGAAGAACGUGUGUGAGAGUGGAAAGUUCACACAGUGACGGUAACUUACCAGAAAGGGACGGCUAACUACGUGCCAGCAGCCGCGGUAAUACGUAGGUCCCGAGCGUUGUCCGGAUUUAUUGGGCGUAAAGCGAGCGCAGGCGGUUUAAUAAGUCUGAAGUUAAAGGCAGUGGCUUAACCAUUGUUCGCUUUGGAAACUGUUAAACUUGAGUGCAGAAGGGGAGAGUGGAAUUCCAUGUGUAGCGGUGAAAUGCGUAGAUAUAUGGAGGAACACCGGUGGCGAAAGCGGCUCUCUGGUCUGUAACUGACGCUGAGGCUCGAAAGCGCGGGGAGCAAACAGGAUUAGAUACCCUGGUAGUCCACGCCGUAAACGAUGAGUGCUAGGUGUUAGGCCCUUUCCGGGGCUUAGUGCCGCAGCU
RNAcentral lists this ribosomal RNA (863 nucleotides) under uncultured bacterium. RNAcentral's name for it is "bacterial SSU rRNA". It matches the Rfam family "Bacterial small subunit ribosomal RNA", at positions 8 to 853 of the family's 1533-position model. The record is from RNAcentral.